RNAcentral lists this ribosomal RNA (258 nucleotides) under uncultured bacterium. RNAcentral describes it as "partial 16S ribosomal RNA". It matches the Rfam family "Bacterial small subunit ribosomal RNA", at positions 524 to 776 of the family's 1533-position model. The record is from RNAcentral.
UACGGAGGGUGCAAGCGUUAUCCGGAUUUACUGGGUUUAAAGGGUGCGUAGGCGGGCCAUUAAGUCAGUGGUGAAAGCUCCGAGCUUAACUCGGAAACUGCCAUUGAUACUAUUGGUCUUGAAUUCGGUCGAGGUUGGCGGAAUGUGUCGUGUAGCGGUGAAAUGCUUAGAUAUGACACAGAACACCCGAUUGCGAAGGCAGCUAGCUAGACCGACAUUUGACGCUGAGGCACGAAAAGCGUGGGGGAUCAAAACAGG